RNAcentral lists this transfer RNA (91 nucleotides) under Felis catus (domestic cat). It matches the Rfam family "tRNA". Rfam says of the family: Transfer RNA (tRNA) molecules are approximately 80 nucleotides in length. Their secondary structure includes four short double-helical elements and three loops (D, anti-codon, and T loops). The record is from Rfam by way of RNAcentral. Lineage: Eukaryota; Metazoa; Chordata; Mammalia; Carnivora; Felidae.
GCCUGGGUGGCUUAGCCGGUUAAGCAUCUGACUCUUGAUUUCAGCUCAGGUCAUGAUUUCACUGUUUGUGAGUUCAAGCCCACUUCAGGCU